RNAcentral lists this ribosomal RNA (520 nucleotides) under uncultured Archaeospora. RNAcentral's name for it is "SSU rRNA". It matches the Rfam family "Eukaryotic small subunit ribosomal RNA", at positions 569 to 1092 of the family's 1831-position model. Lineage: Eukaryota; Fungi; Glomeromycota; Glomeromycetes; Archaeosporales; Archaeosporaceae. The record is from RNAcentral.
AGCAGCCGCGGUAAUUCCAGCUCCAAUAGCGUAUAUUAAAGUUGUUGCAGUUAAAAAGCCCGUAGUUGAAUUUUAGGCCUGGCCGGACGGUCCGUCUCUGGCGAGUACUGUUCUGUCGUCGGGUCUAUCCUUCUGGUGAGCCGGUAUGUUCUUAAUUGGGCGUGUCGGGGAACCAGGACCAUUACCUUGAAAAAAUUAGAGUGUUUAAAGCAGGCUUCUGCUUGAAUAGAUUAGCAUGGAAUAAUAGAAUAGGACGUUGUGGUUCUAUUUUGUUGGUUCUAGGACCACCGUAAUGAUUAAUAGGGAUAGUUGGGGGCAUUAGUAUUCAAUUGUCAGAGGUGAAAUUCUUGGAUUUAUUGAAGACUAACUACUGCGAAAGCAUUUGCCAAGGAUGUUUUCAUUAAUCAAGAACGAAAGUUAGGGGAUCGAAGACGAUCAGAUACCGUCGUAGUCUUAACCAUAAACUAUGCCGACUAGGAAUCGGGCGACGUUAUUUUCACGACUCGCUCGGCGCCUUAUG